UUGUGACGCCCCGUGUUUAGUAACACAGCCUCAUCCAGCUUUGAUGGGACGCUGGUCACGUGUGGGUUUUCUCCACGUGCUCUGCAGCUCAGCCCUCAGAAGGAUGCUGUCUGUGGUGCUGUGACCAGCUGGUUUUAUGGAAAGCAAUCCCUUAGGCAAAGAGUCCCAGCCCCAGCUUGUGCAGAGCUGCACAGCAUCACCAGGGACACCAGCAGGCGUGCUUGGGCUGUUUCCAGCUUGUCACACCUACGCUGAUGGCUGUGGCGUGCAGCGAGAUCAGCUGUGGGCCUGACCUGGCAUGGACAGAGACUGAGAACAAGGGGAAGCCCCUGCUGGACCAUGAGGUGGCACCUGUGAAUGUUCCAGCUAUUGCUGCUGCCCAUGCUAUUAAGAGAUACGUUGCCCAGGCAGCGGAUGAACUCUCCUUUGAGGUGGGAGACAUCGUGUGU
Phasianus colchicus (ring-necked pheasant) is the source of this 449-nucleotide non-coding RNA. NCBI's taxonomy places the organism in Eukaryota, Metazoa, Chordata, Aves, Galliformes, Phasianidae. The record is from RefSeq and is a predicted model, not a curated record.